Molecule: ribosomal RNA, 501 nt
Filed under: uncultured bacterium
Lineage: Bacteria
Description: partial 16S ribosomal RNA
Rfam family: Bacterial small subunit ribosomal RNA
Source: RNAcentral
AUUGAACGCUGGCGGCAGGCUUAACACAUGCAAGUCGAGCGGGGAAGGGUAGCUUGCUACCUAACCUAGCGGCGGACGGGUGAGUAAUGCUUAGGAAUCUGCCAUUUAGUGGGGGACAACAUUCCGAAAGGAAUGCUAAUACCGCAUACGUCCUACGGGAGAAAGCAGGGGAUCUUCGGACCUUGCGCUAAAUGAUGAGCCUAAGUCGGAUUAGCUAGUUGGUGGGGUAAAGGCCUACCAAGGCGACGAUCUGUCGCGGGUCUGAGAGGAUGAUCCGCCACACUGGGACUGAGACACGGCCCAGACUCCUACGGGAGGCAGCAGUGGGGAAUAUUGGACAAUGGGCGAAAGCCUGAUCCAGCCAUGCCGCGUGUGUGAAGAAGGCCUUUUGGUUGUAAAGCACUUUAAGCGAGGAGGAGGCUACUAGUACUAAUACUACUGGAUAGUGGACGUUACUCGCAGAAUAAGCACCGGCUAACUCUGUGCCAGCCGCCGCCGUAA